Molecule: long non-coding RNA, 568 nt
Organism: Poecilia latipinna (sailfin molly)
Lineage: Eukaryota; Metazoa; Chordata; Actinopteri; Cyprinodontiformes; Poeciliidae
Exons: 4
Source: RefSeq, a predicted model, not a curated record
GCAGUGCGGAGCUGAGCGCUCGCACUGUGGAGGUGAUCCGCAGAGGCGAGAGCUCCUCGAUGUUCUCCUCCAUCCUCGCCGCGGCUCUGACAGAAACAUCUGAGCGCCUCAUGAUGGAUGAUGUGAGACAGGUGUGGCCAACAGAGCGUGACGGGGACGACUCCCAUCAGGUCCGUCUGGGUUUCAGCCUGGAAAGUCCGGAGGAUUCAGAGGAGCAUCUGAUCCUCUCUGGAGACCUGGAGGAGGAAGGUGGAGGUCUGGUCUUUGUUUGGAUUGUCCAACAUGUGAUGAUGCUUUGUUCUAAACCACUGCAUUGUGCCAAAUGGCUGUACGCUUAAGAGUUCCUGAACCUCCAUCCUUUCUGACCAAGCAGCUCCACUGUCCAUGCUGAAGAAAUGAACAGAUCUCAAAGCUUGGGACUCGGUUUCUCACUACAAGCUGUAGCAAGUCCUCAUGGGAUACGAGCCCCCCCUCCAGGUAAUGAGACCCUGGUAACCCUAACCUGCUGAUAAACUGCCUCUUCACUCUUAACCCUUUCAUGCAUAGUGGUCACCACAGUGGACAGCUA